This 1237-nucleotide ribosomal RNA is filed under the name Eisenia nordenskioldi nordenskioldi. RNAcentral describes it as "16S ribosomal RNA". It matches the Rfam family "Bacterial large subunit ribosomal RNA", at positions 582 to 2773 of the family's 2925-position model. Lineage: Eukaryota; Metazoa; Annelida; Clitellata; Crassiclitellata; Lumbricidae. The record is from RNAcentral.
AUCCUAUAAAAUCUUAUACUAGCUCAUUAAUGAAAACAAUAUAAUGUAAAUUUCUCCUAUACUCACAAAAUUAAGUACUGAAAAGGAAGUAAAAAUAUAUUAAAGUAGUGACACCCACGUACCUUGUGCAUUAUGGUUUUACAAGUCUAUAAUUAAAAAUUAACUCCCGAAUCCUACGCGAGCUGUCCACGUACAGCUUUGAACCCACCACUAGUUGUGGCACCAACUUUGGAAGAUACUUUGACAGAGGCUACAUACCACCCGCGCUAGUAAAUUGCUGGUUUUCAGAAAAAUUUAUAAAUUAAAACAUGUAGAAUUUCUGCAAUGUAAAAUUACAGAGGAUAAGCCCUGUAAUUAAAGCUAACAUCUAAAACCCCAAUAUGUAGGCCUAAAAACAGCCAUCCCAGUACGUUACUGUACUAAACUAUUUAAUUUCUACAACUUUAUGCCAUCUAUAUCUGAAACUAAGGACCAACUCAGUUCCUAAUUUAUUCUGUAAAAAUAAGUAUUUGAUUAAUAUUUAAUCUUUCCCAGACGCAUUAACCAGACUACCCAAAGCUUAUAAAGGAACUCGGCAAAAAUUAUUUCGACUGUUUAACAAAAACAUUGCCUCUUGAACUCUUAUAAGAGGUAAUUCCUGCCCGGUGAAUCAUAUUUAACGGCCGCGGUAUCCUAACCGUGCAAAGGUAGCAUAAUCACUUGCCCAUUAAUUGUGGGCUAGAAUGAAAGGACUAACGAAAUAAAAACUGUCUCUAUAAGCCCUCUAAAAAUUAACCUCUAACUGAAGACUGUUAGAUCCCCUCGACGGACAAGAAGACCCUAUAGAGCUUUAUUAUAAAAAAGUAUAUAACUUUUGCUAAUUCGGUUGGGGCGACCCGGGAAGUACACAAUCAUCCCUUUAUAACAGAUCAAUAAAUCGCACCCUUGACCCUCUUAAGAUCGUAAAAUCAAGCUACCUUAGGGAUAACAGGCUAAUCCCACUAAAGAGUCCUUAUCAAUAGUGGGGUUUGGCACCUCGAUGUUGGCUUAGGGAAUUCGUACGGCGCAAAAGUCGUAACAAAUGGUUUGUUCAACCAAUAAUACCCUACAUGAGCUGAGUUCAGACCGGCGUAAGCCAGGUUAGUUUCUAUCCUCGAUAUGUAAUCUAUUUAUAGUACGAAAGGACCUAAAUAUGAGUAAUAGUUAUUUCUAAGGAAACCACAUAAAGUAAAUUAAUUUACCUAAAAUAUAGACAAUG